RNAcentral lists this ribosomal RNA (767 nucleotides) under uncultured bacterium. Its description in RNAcentral is "bacterial SSU rRNA". It matches the Rfam family "Bacterial small subunit ribosomal RNA", at positions 749 to 1507 of the family's 1533-position model. The record is from RNAcentral.
GGGAACUUGUUCGGGGGACAGAUUAACAGGAUUAGAUACCCUGGUAGUCCACGCCCUAAACGAUGGAUGCUAGUCGUAAGAGGUAUCGACCCCUCUUGUGACGCAGCUAACGCAUUAAGCAUCCCGCCUGGGGAGUACGGCCGCAAGGUUGAAACUCAAAUGAAUUGACGGGGACCCGCACAAGCGGUGGAGCAUGUGGAUUAAUUCGAUACUAACCGAAGAACCUUACCCAGGUUUGACAUCGAUCGAAAGACCUAGAGAUAGGUCCCUGAACCACAAGUUCACGUGAAGACAGAUGUUGCAUGGCUGUCGUCAGCUCGUGCCGUGAGGUGUACGGUUAAGUCCGCCAACGAGCGCAACCCUCGUCUUGUGUUACCAGCGAGUAAUGUCGGGGACUCACGAGAGACCGCCGGUGUAAGCCGGAGGAAGGUGAGGAUGACGUCAAGUCAGCAUGGCUCUUACGCCUGGGGCUUCACACAUGCUACAAUGGGCGCAACAAACGGCAGCAAUACCGCGAGGUGGAGCAAAUCCGAAAAAUACGCCCCCAGUUCAGAUUGUAGUCUGCAACUCGACUACAUGAAGGCGGAAUCGCUAGUAAACGCAGGUCAGCUAUACUGCGUUGAAUACGUUCCCGGGUCUUGUACACACCGCCCGUCAAGUCACCUGAAUCGUCUUCACCCGAAGUCCGUGGCCUAACUCGCAAGAGAGGGAGCGGCCGAAGGUGAUGGGGGUAAGGGGGACUAAGUCGUAACAAGGUAACCAAUCUU